Molecule: ribosomal RNA, 911 nt
Filed under: uncultured bacterium
Lineage: Bacteria
Description: bacterial SSU rRNA
Rfam family: Bacterial small subunit ribosomal RNA
Source: RNAcentral
GUCGNACGGUAACAGGUCUUCGGAUGCUGACGAGUGGCGAACGGGUGAGUAAUACAUCGGAACGUGCCUAGUAGUGGGGGAUAACUACUCGAAAGAGUAGCUAAUACCGCAUGAGAUCUACGGAUGAAAGCAGGGGACCUUCGGGCCUUGUGCUACUAGAGCGGCUGAUGGCAGAUUAGGUAGUUGGUGGGGUAAAGGCUUACCAAGCCUGCGAUCUGUAGCUGGUCUGAGAGGACGACCAGCCACACUGGGACUGAGACACGGCCCAGACUCCUACGGGAGGCAGCAGUGGGGAAUUUUGGACAAUGGGCGAAAGCCUGAUCCAGCAAUGCCGCGUGCAGGAUGAAGGCCCUCGGGUUGUAAACUGCUUUUGUACGGAACGAAAAGCCUGGGGCUAAUAUCCCCGGGUCAUGACGGUACCGUAAGAAUAAGCACCGGCUAACUACGUGCCAGCAGCCGCGGUAAUACGUAGGGUGCAAGCGUUAAUCGGAAUUACUGGGCGUAAAGCGUGCGCAGGCGGUUUUGUAAGACAGUGGUGAAAUCCCCGGGCUCAACCUGGGAACUGCCAUUGUGACUGCAAGGCUAGAGUGCGGCAGAGGGGGAUGGAAUUCCGCGUGUAGCAGUGAAAUGCGUAGAUAUGCGGAGGAACACCGAUGGCGAAGGCAAUCCCCUGGGCCUGCACUGACGCUCAUGCACGAAAGCGUGNGGAGCAAACAGGAUUAGAUACCCUGGUAGUCCACGCCCUAAACGAUGUCAACUGGUUGUUGGGUCUUAACUGACUCAGUAACGAAGCUAACGCGUGAAGUUGACCGCCUGGGGAGUACGGCCGCAAGGGUUGAAACUCAAAGGAAUUGACGGGGACCCGCACAAGCGGUGGNAUGAUGUGNUUNNNUUCGAUGCNACGCGAAAAA